RNAcentral lists this ribosomal RNA (437 nucleotides) under uncultured Clostridium sp. Its description in RNAcentral is "partial 16S ribosomal RNA". It matches the Rfam family "Bacterial small subunit ribosomal RNA", at positions 341 to 792 of the family's 1533-position model. The record is from RNAcentral. Lineage: Bacteria; Bacillati; Bacillota; Clostridia; Eubacteriales; Clostridiaceae.
ACGGAAGGCAGCAGUGGGGGAUAUUGCACAAUGGAGGAAACUCUGAUGCAGCAACGCCGCGUGAGGGAAGAAGGUUUUCGGAUUGUAAACCUCUGUUUUUAGUGAAGAAACAAAUGACGGUAGCUAAAGAGGAAGCCACGGCUAACUACGUGCCAGCAGCCGCGGUAAUACGUAGGUGGCAAGCGUUGUCCGGAAUUACUGGGUGUAAAGGGAGCGCAGGCGGGACUGCAAGUUGGAUGUGAAAUACCGGGGCUUAACCCCGGAGCUGCAUCCAAAACUGUAGUUCUUGAGUGAAGUAGAGGUUGGCGGAAUUCCGAGUGUAGCGGUGAAAUGCGUAGAUAUUCGGAGGAACACCAGUGGCGAAGGCGGCCAGCUGGGCUUUAACUGACGCUGAGGCUCGAAAGUAUGGGGAGCAAACAGGAUUAGAUACCCUGGUA